This 465-nucleotide ribosomal RNA is filed under the name Vreelandella stevensii. RNAcentral describes it as "partial 16S ribosomal RNA". It matches the Rfam family "Bacterial small subunit ribosomal RNA", at positions 338 to 795 of the family's 1533-position model. The record is from RNAcentral. Lineage: Bacteria; Pseudomonadati; Pseudomonadota; Gammaproteobacteria; Oceanospirillales; Halomonadaceae.
CCUAGGGUGAGCAGCAGUGGGGAAUAUUGGACAAUGGGCGAAAGCCUGAUCCAGCCAUGCCGCGUGUGUGAAGAAGGCCUUCGGGUUGUAAAGCACUUUCAGUGGGGAAGAAAGCCUUGGGGCUAAUACCCUCGAGGAAGGACAUCACCCACAGAAGAAGCACCGGCUAACUCCGUGCCAGCAGCCGCGGUAAUACGGAGGGUGCGAGCGUUAAUCGGAAUUACUGGGCGUAAAGCGCGCGUAGGCGGUCUGAUAAGCCGGUUGUGAAAGCCCCGGGCUCAACCUGGGAACGGCAUCCGGAACUGUCAGGCUAGAGUGCAGGAGAGGAAGGUAGAAUUCCCGGUGUAGCGGUGAAAUGCGUAGAGAUCGGGAGGAAUACCAGUGGCGAAGGCGGCCUUCUGGACUGACACUGACGCUGAGGUGCGAAAGCGUGGGUAGCAAACAGGAUUAGAUACCCCGGUAGUC